This 497-nucleotide ribosomal RNA is filed under the name uncultured bacterium. RNAcentral's name for it is "partial 16S ribosomal RNA". It matches the Rfam family "Bacterial small subunit ribosomal RNA", at positions 28 to 507 of the family's 1533-position model. The record is from RNAcentral.
GAUGAACGCUGGCGGCGUGCCUAAUACAUGCAAGUCGAGCGAACAGACGAGGAGCUUGCUCCUCUGACGUUAGCGGCGGACGGGUGAGUAACACGUGGAUAACCUACCUAUAAGACUGGGAUAACUUCGGGAAACCGGAGCUAAUACCGGAUAAUAUAUUGAACCGCAUGGUUCAAUAGUGAAAGACGGCUUUGCUGUCACUUAUAGAUGGAUCCGCGCCGCAUUAGCUAGUUGGUAAGGUAACGGCUUACCAAGGCAACGAUGCGUAGCCGACCUGAGAGGGUGAUCGGCCACACUGGAACUGAGACACGGUCCAGACUCCUACGGGAGGCAGCAGUAGGGAAUCUUCGGCAAUGGGCGAAAGCCUGACGGAGCAACGCCGCGUGAGGGAUGAGGGUCUUCGGAUCGUAAAACUCUGUUAUUAGGGAAGAACAAAUGUGUAAGUAACUAUGCACGUCUUGACGGUACCUAAUCAGAAAGCCACGGCUAACUACGUG